Molecule: microRNA, 24 nt
Filed under: Eisenia fetida (common brandling worm)
Lineage: Eukaryota; Metazoa; Annelida; Clitellata; Crassiclitellata; Lumbricidae
Description: Efe-Mir-278-P2_5p* (star (passenger))
Source: RNAcentral
ACGAGCGAAUGUUCUCACGCGAUC